UGUGGUUUAGAGUAACGGUAACUCAAAGGUCUCAUAAGCCUUGGAUGUUGGUUCGAAUCCAGCAGCCGCAA
This 71-nucleotide transfer RNA is filed under the name Chitinophagaceae bacterium. RNAcentral describes it as "tRNA-Met". It matches the Rfam family "tRNA". Rfam says of the family: Transfer RNA (tRNA) molecules are approximately 80 nucleotides in length. Their secondary structure includes four short double-helical elements and three loops (D, anti-codon, and T loops). The record is from RNAcentral. Lineage: Bacteria; Pseudomonadati; Bacteroidota; Chitinophagia; Chitinophagales; Chitinophagaceae.